This 854-nucleotide long non-coding RNA is filed under the name Musa acuminata (dwarf banana). Its description in RNAcentral is "long non-coding RNA (MACU_LNC000871)". Lineage: Eukaryota; Viridiplantae; Streptophyta; Magnoliopsida; Zingiberales; Musaceae. The record is from RNAcentral.
CGAACCGUCCAAGCCAAGCUGCCUACGUUGUUGACCGGCUGCUAGCCACCGACGACGACGUGCUCUCACAGGAAACGGUUCAGGAAUUCGUCAACGGUGGUGUACUUGACGUCAGGGAACAGAGCCGUGGCCUCCACGCCGAAAGAUGGCUCGAUCUCGAAGUUGGUGUGGUCACCCUUCACAAAGGCGGAGUGGCAAAUAGAGAGCAUGACGUUGAGAGGGAUUGGCGCCUCUGAAAGAGAGAAGCAAUUGGGUUAGCAGACGGGCUAACAGGUCAUGGAAGUAUUACGCACAGAAAGGAAGUUCCUAAGCACCUUGGAUCUGCUUCAGGACUUCUUCUUCUGGGACGUAGACCCUCUCGAAGGUCUUGCCGACCUUCUUCUCCCAGAGGGAAAUGAGCUCGUUAUGAGACAAGAUGUUGGCGGAAGGUCUCAGAUAUAGAACCUUGUUCAGGGUUCUCGGAUCAUCCACUGCUUUAAUUGUGUAUGUCCCGAUGUCGUCUUCAUUGAGAAAGAUCGCUGUUGUAGGAGGAAAAAAAACGCCAUUAAAUAAGAGAUGGCCAUAUAUUUUACAUCUUGCAAAAGAAGACGAAGAGGAAUUCACGCCAUACCUUUUGUGUUCCCGUCACCUAAGAUGACAACCUUGUCCGUGGGAGGACCAGUGGCUCCUGCCUGUCCCAAUACCGGGAGGAAAUACCCACCGAAGAAGUUGGAAGAUACAAAGGUGUAAGGGAUCCCCGAUGCCUCAACAGCCCUUCUAAUUUGUUGCUUGACGACAAAGGUCGACUUUGCUGGCUCCACAGCAUGGCUUCGGUCUACGUCGUUGCCAAACUCCGAUGGAAGGUACCUCUGCGA